ACUCAGCUGAUGAGUCUCAAGUAGGACGAAACGCUCGUCAUGGAU
Molecule: non-coding RNA, 45 nt
Filed under: Schistosoma margrebowiei
Lineage: Eukaryota; Metazoa; Platyhelminthes; Trematoda; Strigeidida; Schistosomatidae
Source: RNAcentral